UACGUAGGGGGCAAGCGUUGUCCGGAAUUAUUGGGCGUAAAGAGCUCGUAGGCGGUCUGUCGCGUCUGCUGUGAAAUCCCGAGGCUCAACCUCGGGCUUGCAGUGGGUACGGGCAGGCUAGAGUGCGGUAGGGGAGAAUGGAACUCCUGGUGUAGCGGUGGAAUGCGCAGAUAUCAGGAAGAACACCGAUGGCGAAGGCAGUUCUCUGGGCCGUAACUGACGCUGAGGAGCGAAAGCGUGGGGAGCGAACAGG
Molecule: ribosomal RNA, 253 nt
Filed under: uncultured bacterium
Lineage: Bacteria
Description: partial 16S ribosomal RNA
Rfam family: Bacterial small subunit ribosomal RNA
Source: RNAcentral